Long non-coding RNA from Maniola jurtina (meadow brown), 112 nucleotides. RefSeq lists it as uncharacterized. The record is from RefSeq and is a predicted model, not a curated record. NCBI's taxonomy places the organism in Eukaryota, Metazoa, Arthropoda, Insecta, Lepidoptera, Nymphalidae. The transcript has 3 exons.
AAGUGGUCAAAUUUGAAACACCAGAGCAAACACCAGGAUCGUCAGUUUCAAAAUGAACGUCGAAGAGUUAACACUGCUUUUAGUUAUACAUACGACUCAAAAUAAAAUUAAC